UACGAAGGGGGUGAGCGUUGUUCGGAAUUACUGGGCGUAAAGGGCGCGUAGGCGGUCCUUCAAGUCAGGCGUGAAAGCCCCGGGCUCAACCUGGGAACCGCGCUUGAUACUGGAGAGCUUGAGUCCGGAAGAGGUGAGUGGAACUCCGAGUGUAGAGGUGAAAUUCGUAGAUAUUCGGAAGAACACCAGUGGCGAAGGCGGCUCACUGGUCCGGUACUGACGCUGAGGUGCGAAAGCGUGGGGAGCAAACAGG
Molecule: ribosomal RNA, 253 nt
Filed under: uncultured bacterium
Lineage: Bacteria
Description: partial 16S ribosomal RNA
Rfam family: Bacterial small subunit ribosomal RNA
Source: RNAcentral